Molecule: ribosomal RNA, 434 nt
Filed under: uncultured Ruminococcus sp.
Lineage: Bacteria; Bacillati; Bacillota; Clostridia; Eubacteriales; Oscillospiraceae
Description: bacterial SSU rRNA
Rfam family: Bacterial small subunit ribosomal RNA
Source: RNAcentral
ACGGGAGGCAGCAGUGGGGAAUAUUGCACAAUGGGGGAAACCCUGAUGCAGCGAUGCCGCGUGGAGGAAGACGGUUUUCGGAUUGUAAACUCCUGUCUUAAAGGACGAUAAUGACGGUACUUUAGGUGGCAGCUCCGGCUAACUACGUGCCAGCAGCCGCGGUAAUACGUAGGGAGCGAGCGUUGUCCGGAAUUACUGGGUGUAAAGGGAGCGUAGGCGGGACUGCAAGUCAGAUGUGAAAUGCCGGGGCGUAACACCGGAGCUGCAUUUGAAACUGGGGUGCUUGAGUGAAGUAGAGGCAAGCGGAAUUCCUGGUGUAGCGGUGAAAUGCGUAGAUAUCAGGAGGAACACCGGUGGCGAAGGCGGCUUGCUGGGCUUUUACUGACGCUGAGGCUCGAAAGCGUGGGUAGCAAACAGGAUUAGAUACCCUGGUA